This 1398-nucleotide ribosomal RNA is filed under the name Micrococcus flavus. RNAcentral's name for it is "bacterial SSU rRNA". It matches the Rfam family "Bacterial small subunit ribosomal RNA". The record is from RNAcentral. Lineage: Bacteria; Bacillati; Actinomycetota; Actinomycetes; Micrococcales; Micrococcaceae.
CUUACCAUGCAAGUCGAACGAUGAAGCCCAGCUUGCUGGGCGGAUUAGUGGCGAACGGGUGAGUAACACGUGAGUAACCUGCCCUUGACUCUGGGAUAAGCCCGGGAAACUGGGUCUAAUACCGGAUAGGAGCGCCUGUCGCAUGACGGGUGCUGGAAAGAUCUUUCGGUCAUGGAUGGACUCGCGGCCUAUCAGCUUGUUGGUGAGGUAACGGCUCACCAAGGCGACGACGGGUAGCCGGCCUGAGAGGGUGACCGGCCACACUGGGACUGAGACACGGCCCAGACUCCUACGGGAGGCAGCAGUGGGGAAUAUUGCACAAUGGGCGAAAGCCUGAUGCAGCGACGCCGCGUGAGGGAUGACGGCCUUCGGGUUGUAAACCUCUUUCAGCAGGGAAGAAGCGAAAGUGACGGUACCUGCAGAAGAAGCACCGGCUAACUACGUGCCAGCAGCCGCGGUAAUACGUAGGGUGCGAGCGUUAUCCGGAAUUAUUGGGCGUAAAGAGCUCGUAGGCGGUUUGUCACGUCUGUCGUGAAAGUCCGGGGCUUAACCCCGGAUCUGCGGUGGGUACGGGCAGACUAGAGUGCAGUAGGGGAGACUGGAAUUCCUGGUGUAGCGGUGGAAUGCGCAGAUAUCAGGAGGAACACCGAUGGCGAAGGCAGGUCUCUGGGCUGUAACUGACGCUGAGGAGCGAAAGCAUGGGGAGCGAACAGGAUUAGAUACCCUGGUAGUCCAUGCCGUAAACGUUGGGCACUAGGUGUGGGGACCAUUCCACGGUUUCCGCGCCGCAGCUAACGCAUUAAGUGCCCCGCCUGGGGAGUACGGCCGCAAGGCUAAAACUCAAAGGAAUUGACGGGGGCCCGCACAAGCGGCGGAGCAUGCGGAUUAAUUCGAUGCAACGCGAAGAACCUUACCAAGGCUUGACAUGUUUUCGACCGCCGUGGAGACACGGGUUUCCCCUUUGGGGCGGAUUCACAGGUGGUGCAUGGUUGUCGUCAGCUCGUGUCGUGAGAUGUUGGGUUAAGUCCCGCAACGAGCGCAACCCUCGUUCCAUGUUGCCAGCACGUAGUGGUGGGGACUCAUGGGAGACUGCCGGGGUCAACUCGGAGGAAGGUGAGGACGACGUCAAAUCAUCAUGCCCCUUAUGUCUUGGGCUUCACGCAUGCUACAAUGGCCGGUACAAUGGGUUGCGAUACUGUGAGGUGGAGCUAAUCCCAAAAAGCCGGUCUCAGUUCGGAUUGGGGUCUGCAACUCGACCCCAUGAAGUCGGAGUCGCUAGUAAUCGCAGAUCAGCAACGCUGCGGUGAAUACGUUCCCGGGCCUUGUACACACCGCCCGUCAAGUCACGAAAGUCGGUAACACCCGAAGCCGGUGGCCUAACCCUUGUGGGGGAGCCGU